Molecule: ribosomal RNA, 465 nt
Filed under: Vreelandella stevensii
Lineage: Bacteria; Pseudomonadati; Pseudomonadota; Gammaproteobacteria; Oceanospirillales; Halomonadaceae
Description: partial 16S ribosomal RNA
Rfam family: Bacterial small subunit ribosomal RNA
Source: RNAcentral
CCUAGGGGCGGCAGCAGUGGGGAAUAUUGGACAAUGGGCGAAAGCCUGAUCCAGCCAUGCCGCGUGUGUGAAGAAGGCCUUCGGGUUGUAAAGCACUUUCAGUGGGGAAGAAAGCCUUGGGGCUAAUACCCUCGAGGAAGGACAUCACCCACAGAAGAAGCACCGGCUAACUCCGUGCCAGCAGCCGCGGUAAUACGGAGGGUGCGAGCGUUAAUCGGAAUUACUGGGCGUAAAGCGCGCGUAGGCGGUCUGAUAAGCCGGUUGUGAAAGCCCCGGGCUCAACCUGGGAACGGCAUCCGGAACUGUCAGGCUAGAGUGCAGGAGAGGAAGGUAGAAUUCCCGGUGUAGCGGUGAAAUGCGGAGAGAUCGGGAGGAAUACCAGUGGCGAAGGCGGCCUUCUGGACUGACACUGACGCUGAGGUGCGAAAGCGUGGGUAGCAAACAGGAUUAGAUACCCUUGUAGUC